CAAGUCGAACGAUGAACCACUUCGGUGGGGAUUAGUGGCGAACGGGUGAGUAACACGUGGGCAAUCUGCCCUGCACUCUGGGACAAGCCCUGGAAACGGGGUCUAAUACCGGAUACUGACCAUCACGGGCAUCCGUGGUGGUCGAAAGCUCCGGCGGUGCAGGAUGAGCCCGCGGCCUAUCAGCUUGUUGGUGAGGUAACGGCUCACCAAGGCGACGACGGGUAGCCGGCCUGAGAGGGCGACCGGCCACACUGGGACUGAGACACGGCCCAGACUCCUACGGGAGGCAGCAGUGGGGAAUAUUGCACAAUGGGCGAAAGCCUGAUGCAGCGACGCCGCGUGAGGGAUGACGGCCUUCGGGUUGUAAACCUCUUUCAGCAGGGAAGAAGCGAAAGUGACGGUACCUGCAGAAGAAGCGCCGGCUAACUACGUGCCAGCAGCCGCGGUAAUACGUAGGGCGCGAGCGUUGUCCGGAAUUAUUGGGCGUAAAGAGCUCGUAGGCGGCUUGUCACGUCGGUUGUGAAAGCCCGGGGCUUAACCCCGGGUCUGCAGUCGAUACGGGCAGGCUAGAGUUCGGUAGGGGAGAUCGGAAUUCCUGGUGUAGCGGUGAAAUGCGCAGAUAUCAGGAGGAACACCGGUGGCGAAGGCGGAUCUCUGGGCCGAUACUGACGCUGAGGAGCGAAAGCGUGGGGAGCGAACAGGAUUAGAUACCCUGGUAGUCCACGCCGUAAACGGUGGGCACUAGGUGUGGGCGACAUUCCACGUCGUCCGUGCCGCAGCUAACGCAUUAAGUGCCCCGCCUGGGGAGUACGGCCGCAAGGCUAAAACUCAAAGGAAUUGACGGGGGCCCGCACAAGCGGCGGAGCAUGUGGCUUAAUUCGACGCAACGCGAAGAACCUUACCAAGGCUUGACAUACACCGGAAACACUCAGAGAUGGGUGCCCCCUUGUGGUCGGUGUACAGGUGGUGCAUGACUGUCGUCAGCUCGUGUCGUGAGAUGUUGGGUUAAGUCCCGCAACGAGCGCAACCCUUGUCCCGUGUUGCCAGCAAGCCUCUUCGGGGUGUGGGGACUCACGGGAGACCGCCGGGGUCAACUCGGAGGAAAGUUGGGACGAACGUUCAAGUCAAUCAUGCCC
RNAcentral lists this ribosomal RNA (1136 nucleotides) under Streptomyces marokkonensis. RNAcentral describes it as "bacterial SSU rRNA". It matches the Rfam family "Bacterial small subunit ribosomal RNA", at positions 58 to 1200 of the family's 1533-position model. The record is from RNAcentral. Lineage: Bacteria; Bacillati; Actinomycetota; Actinomycetes; Kitasatosporales; Streptomycetaceae.